AGAGUUUGAUCCUGGCUCAGAAUGAACGCUGGCGGCAGGCCUAACACUUUGCAAGUCGAACGGAUCCUUCGGGAUUAGUGCGGACGGGUGAGUAACGCGUGGGAACAUACCCUUUGGUUCAGAAUAGCCCCGGGAAACUGGGAGUAAUACUGGAUGUGCUCGUAAGAGGAAAGAUUUAUCGCCAAAGGAUUGGCCCGCGUUGGAUUAGGUAGUUGGUGGGGUAAUGGCCUACCAAGCCGACGAUCCAUAGCUGGUUUGAGAGGAUGAUCAGCCACACUGGGACUGAGACACGGCCCAGACUCCUACGGGAGGCAGCAGUGGGGAAUCUUAGACAAUGGGGGAAACCCUGAUCUAGCCAUGCCGCGUGAUCGAUGAAGGCCUUAGGGUUGUAAAGAUCUUUCAGUUGGGAAGAUAAUGACGGUACCAACAGAAGAAGCCCCGGCUAACUCCGUGCCAGCAGCCGCGGUAAUACGGAGGGGGCUAGCGUUAUUCGGAAUUACUGGGCGUAAAGCGCACGUAGGCGGACUGGAAAGUCAGAGGUGAAAGCCCAGGGCUCAACCUUGGAACUGCCUUUGAAACUCCCAGUCUUGAGGUCGAGAGAGGUAAGUGGAAUUCCGA
RNAcentral lists this ribosomal RNA (618 nucleotides) under uncultured Crater Lake bacterium CL0-89. Its description in RNAcentral is "bacterial SSU rRNA". It matches the Rfam family "Bacterial small subunit ribosomal RNA", at positions 8 to 672 of the family's 1533-position model. The record is from RNAcentral.